UGGGGAAUAUUGGACAAUGGGGGAAACCCUGAUCCAGCAAUGCCGCGUGGGUGAUGAAGGCCUUCGGGUUGUAAAGCCCUUUUGGCGGGGACGAUGAUGACGGUACCCGCAGAAGAAGCCCCGGCUAACUUCGUGCCAGCAGCCGCGGUAAUACGAAGGGGGCUAGCGUUGUUCGGAAUUACUGGGCGUAAAGGGCGCGUAGGCGGCUUCGAUAGUCGGGCGUGAAAUGCCUGGGCUCAACCCAGGAACUGCGCUCGAAACUCCGAGGCUAGAGUGUGGGAGAGGAUAGUGGAAUUCCCAGUGUAGAGGUGAAAUUCGUAGAUAUUGGGAAGAACACCGGUGGCGAAGGCGGCUAUCUGGACCACAACUGACGCUGAGGCGCGAAAGCGUGGGGAGCAAACAG
This 403-nucleotide ribosomal RNA is filed under the name uncultured bacterium. Its description in RNAcentral is "bacterial SSU rRNA". It matches the Rfam family "Bacterial small subunit ribosomal RNA", at positions 355 to 775 of the family's 1533-position model. The record is from RNAcentral.